ACUACAUCCCGUGUGUCGUAUCUGGUUAGGCAACACUUAACCUUGUACAACUCACAAACUACGUUCCCUUGAUGUUCUCCUUUGUGAGUCGUCUUGGGCGACAUUCAUUCACACACAUUGAUUGACAACACCUAUUGAUUUAAUAUUCAAUGGUAAA
This 157-nucleotide unclassified non-coding RNA is filed under the name soil metagenome. RNAcentral describes it as "partial internal transcribed spacer 1". The record is from RNAcentral.